GACGAACGCUGGCGGCGUGCUUAACACAUGCAAGUCGAACGGAAAGGCCCUGCUUUUGUGGGGUGCUCGAGUGGCGAACGGGUGAGUAACACGUGAGUAACCUGCCCUUGACUUUGGGAUAACUUCAGGAAACUGGGGCUAAUACCGGAUAGGAGCUCCUGCUGCAUGGUGGGGGUUGGAAAGUUUCGGCGGUUGGGGAUGGACUCGCGGCUUAUCAGCUUGUUGGUGGGGUAGUGGCUUACCAAGGCUUUGACGGGUAGCCGGCCUGAGCGGGUGACCGGCCACAUUGGGACUGAGAUACGGCCCAGACUGCUACGGGAGGCAGCAGUGGGGAAUAUUGCACAAUGGGCGGAAGCCUGAUGCAGCAACGCCGCGUGCGGGAUGACGGCCUUCGGGUUGUAAACCGCUUUCGCCUGUGACGAAGCGUGAGUGACGGUAAUGGGUAAAGAAGCACCGGCUAACUACGUG
RNAcentral lists this ribosomal RNA (468 nucleotides) under uncultured bacterium. Its description in RNAcentral is "partial 16S ribosomal RNA". It matches the Rfam family "Bacterial small subunit ribosomal RNA", at positions 28 to 507 of the family's 1533-position model. The record is from RNAcentral.